CGAAAUAGUUUUAUCUGGUUACUCAAAAUUAAAAUUGUCACCGGAUGAACUAUUUUGGUU
RNAcentral lists this microRNA precursor (60 nucleotides) under Parasteatoda tepidariorum (common house spider). RNAcentral's name for it is "microRNA pte-mir-35q precursor (pte-mir-35q-1)". Its record names the gene pte-mir-35q-1. Lineage: Eukaryota; Metazoa; Arthropoda; Arachnida; Araneae; Theridiidae. The record is from miRBase by way of RNAcentral.